AAAUGAUGAAGGCUCACAAAGCUAAGGAGAUUCCAGGAUACCAUGUAUGUUACACUGCUACUUUGAGAGAGACAUUAUCCCACUUGAAAUGGUGCUGAUCUUUGGUGGACUUGGAAGUAUUCCAAAAUCACAUGGCCACGGUAUUCUAUCAUCACAAGCUGGGUUCCACAAGUUGAGUUCUAUGAGUGGCCUUUUGUAUCAUUUUGUGAUCACGAGUAUCAAAGACAUAGAAUGGAUCAUGGAGGGCACGGACUGGACUUUCAAGAUCACCUGCAUCAAUUGUAAAAAGUAGAUCCUACAGUGGUGAAAGGAGUUGUGACUGUACACAAAGAAGGUUGAGUUAAAAACUCAGGGAGAGCGCCUCGAAUGUCUAACCGUAAUCCAUCCCUGCCAAGAACAAAAAGAAUAAAGCAA
Molecule: long non-coding RNA, 414 nt
Organism: Selaginella moellendorffii
Lineage: Eukaryota; Viridiplantae; Streptophyta; Lycopodiopsida; Selaginellales; Selaginellaceae
Exons: 3
Source: RefSeq, a predicted model, not a curated record